Mustela lutreola (European mink) is the source of this 633-nucleotide long non-coding RNA. RefSeq lists it as uncharacterized. The transcript has 5 exons. Lineage: Eukaryota; Metazoa; Chordata; Mammalia; Carnivora; Mustelidae. The record is from RefSeq and is a predicted model, not a curated record.
GUGGGGGCAGGGGAAGGGCCACUAAGGCAGUGGGGCCAUCUUUCCAGAGCCAGCCAUUGGCCUCUUCUGCCCAAAGGGCAGGUACCAGGAGAGAGUGGGGCCUCAGGGACAGCUAAGAAAAUAGGGAGCAGCAGCAUCUGCAUCCCAGGCCCUGCACUUUCCCUGUUCCUGCUCCUGCUGCUGCCACCUCCAUUGCUGAGCACAGGGAGCUUCCUGCACCACCUCCCAGGCUGAAGAAACUCCCACCAGGGCACCAGGUACUACAGGAGCAAGACAGAGAAGGUGAAAACCUGCGAGGGUGCCUUUGAUCUCUACUUUAUCCUGAACACGUCAGAGAGUGUGAACAACAAUUGGAUGAUGCAGUGAAGAAGUUUCCAAACUUGAAAAUGCGGAUGCCCUUCACUACCUACUCCACACAGGGCCACACCCUUAUGGAGCUCACCUCAGACAGGCAAUAGUGCUGCCAGUCUGAUAUUGCUCUGAACACAGGACCACUGACGCAAAAGGCAUUUGAGGAGGGGCGCCUGGGUGGCUCAGCGGGUUAAGGCCUCUGCCUUCGGCCCAGGUCAUGAUCCCAGGGUCCUGGGAUUGAGCCCUGCGUUGGGCUCUUUGCUCAGUGCAGAGCCUGCUUCU